Molecule: ribosomal RNA, 491 nt
Filed under: uncultured bacterium
Lineage: Bacteria
Description: bacterial SSU rRNA
Rfam family: Bacterial small subunit ribosomal RNA
Source: RNAcentral
AUGAACGCUAGCUACAGGCUUAACACAUGCAAGUCGCGGGGUAACAUCUGGUAGAGCUUGCUCUUCCAGGAUGACGACCGGCGCACGGGUGAGUAACGCGUAUCCAACCUGGCCCAUACCACGGGAUAGCCCGUCGAAAGGCGGAUUAAUACCGUAUGCUGUCAUUAAGAUGCAUAUAUUGAUGACGAAAGGACUGGCGGUGAUGGAUGGGGAUGCGUCUGAUUAGCUUGUUGGCGGGGUAACGGCCCACCAAGGCGACGAUCAGUAGGGGUUCUGAGAGGAAGGUCCCCCACAUUGGAACUGAGACACGGUCCAAACUCCUACGGGAGGCAGCAGUGAGGAAUAUUGGUCAAUGGAGGUAACUCUGAACCAGCCAAGUAGCGUGCAGGAUGACGGCCCUAUGGGUUGUAAACUGCUUUUAUAAGGGAAUAAAGUGAGUCUCGUGAGACUUUUUGCAUGUACCUUAUGAAUAAGGACCGGCUAAUUCCGUG